This 823-nucleotide long non-coding RNA is filed under the name Homo sapiens (human). RNAcentral describes it as "long intergenic non-protein coding RNA 1961". The record is from RNAcentral. Lineage: Eukaryota; Metazoa; Chordata; Mammalia; Primates; Hominidae.
GGAGGCUGAGUCUUGCUCUGUUGCCCAUGCUUUGCUGGAUCUCGGGUGACUGCAACCACUGCCUCCCAGGUUCAAGAGAUUCUCCUGCCUCAGCCUCCUGAGUAGCUGGGACUAGAGGCGUGUGUCACCACACCCAGCUAAGUUUUGUAUUUUUAGUAGAGAUGGGGUUUCACCAUGUUUGCCAGGAUGGUCUCUAUCUCCUGACCUUGUGAUCCACCCACCUCAGCCUCCCAAAGUGCUGGGAUUGCAGGUGGGAGCCACCGGGUCCAGCCUCUCCGGCGAUUUUCAUACCUGCAUACUCUGAUCACUACUCUGUUAAACAGUCAAGGAGGCUGAGUGCCACGUGCUGACGUCACUAAGAUCAAUACAGCAAACUCUGAAAGAUGGACAGAGAGACAGGAGAUGGUCCUUUAUAAUGCAGUGUGAUCUGUGCUGCAAUAGAGAUGGAAGAGUGUUCUGAUCAGCUGGAAAACAACGCACAUGGGAAGCUGUACAGAAAUGAGUGGGGAAAGUUUUGGAAGCUAGAAGUUCAAAACGAGGUGUUGGCAGCACCAUGCUCUCUCUGAAGAUGCUAGGAAGAAUCUGCUCCAUGCCUUUCCAUUCGCUCCUGGGGUUUCCUGCAAGCCCUGACAUUCCUUGGCUUGUAGAUACACCACCCCAGUUUCCGCCCCCAUCAUCACAUGGCCUCCUCUCUGUGGGUGCCUCUGCGUUCCCUCUAUUCUUCUUCUAAGGACACCGACACCAGUCAUAGUGGAUUAAGGGUCCACUCCUAACUAAUUACAUCUGCAACCACCCUAUUUCCAAAUAAAGUCACAUUCUAAGA